AAUCCUACUUUUCCCUCAAAACAGCAAGGCGCGAGGAAAAGGUGAGAUUUCAGUCCAUGUGACAAAACAAAUCAUGCAAAUGAGAGCUCAACUGCUAUUUAGGGAUAAGAGUUUGAACAGGAGGAGCUUCCUUCUAGCUGUAAAACAGAUCACAACCGGUUGAAGAAUUUUAACCCGACAACAAACAAUUUGGAAUUUGAGGUAUGCAAAAAAUUAAAUUUCAAAGAUCACGAAUUGGAAUUUGUAAUUACCAAAAUGUGAAAUACCUGCAAUGUGUUCUUCAAAAAUUAUACAAAACAACGAGAUGCAUUUCACAUCUUUCUUUAGGAUUAUUAGGAUGCACUUUACCUCUGAAAGAUUUGAAAGAAACCACAUACAAAGUAAAAGUUAACGUUUAACAACUUUUCGUCUUUAUUCUGUAAUAAUUAAGCAACCAUCUUAUCUAUGUUACAAUAGAAGGAUAUACAUUUCAUUUGUUUUGACGGGUGUGAAUCUCACAUACAAAAAUAUUUUACCCUUAAAAUUUUCCAUGAAUUAAAUAGU
Molecule: long non-coding RNA, 543 nt
Organism: Folsomia candida
Lineage: Eukaryota; Metazoa; Arthropoda; Collembola; Entomobryomorpha; Isotomidae
Exons: 2
Source: RefSeq, a predicted model, not a curated record